RNAcentral lists this ribosomal RNA (250 nucleotides) under uncultured bacterium. Its description in RNAcentral is "partial 16S ribosomal RNA". It matches the Rfam family "Bacterial small subunit ribosomal RNA", at positions 524 to 773 of the family's 1533-position model. The record is from RNAcentral.
UACGAACCGUCCAAACGUUAUUCGGAAUUACUGGGCUUAAAGGGUUUGUAGGCGGCCUUGCAAGUGGGGUGUGAAAUCCCUCGGCUCAACCGAGGAAUAGCGCUCCAAACUGCAUGGCUUGAGGGAGACAGGGGUAAGCGGAACUGAUGGUGGAGCGGUGAAAUGCGUUGAUAUCAUCAGGAACACCGGUGGCGAAAGCGGCUUACUGGGUCUCUUCUGACGCUGAGAAACGAAAGCUAGGGUAGCGAAC